GGGGGUCGUCGUAGGUGGGGGCCGCGCUAGCGGUGCGGGAGGCGGCAGAGGCAGGGGUAGCGCCACAGGUGGGCGGGUCCCUGCUAGUGGGGCCGCAUCGCAGGUGCGCGAGCCUCGCGGGUGGGCUGGAGGACUCUGGUUGGGGGCUCUAGAGAUGACGGGAGCGCCACAGGUGGGGCAGGGGCAGCGUCCGGAGGAGGGGAGACCGCAGGGGGCCGGGGUCACAUCGUUUGCGGGGCGCGCCAGGGCGGGGCGGGAUAGAACGCCGGGAGCAUCUCCCGGGGGGGCGAGGGAGACCGUGAGUGGGCGCGAGCGCCGGGGCGGGUGGAAACCCCGCAGUUGCGGGGAGCGCCGAUGGCGGGGAGGGGUGGAAUGGGGGCGCGGAGACCCCACCUGGACGCGGAGGCUCGCGGCAGGCCCGGCCGCUCGGGCCGUUGUGGGGGCCGAGCCCGGCCGCGCGCACAGCUUCUAGUGGCCCGCAAGAUUCCUCCUGGGGCGGCGCUGGGAGCCUCGGGGCUCGGCUUCCUCGACCCCCGCCCCCAGGUUUCCUCUGCAGCCUGAGGUCGGGAAGGACGGACGGAGAGUGGAUCCUCCAGGUGGUGGGAAAAGGUAUCUUCCACGGACCUGUGACCUGUCGCUGUGUACAAGCUUGAAUUCCUAACUACGAGUCCUUGAAGCUCCCUUGCUGCCUGAGCGGAACUGAAAUGGCUCCCGGCUGAGGCAUUCAAGGGAAAACUCACUGAAAUAUUUGAAACUACCACCAUGAACAAGAAUGCUCUUCCAGUGUGCCAGGAUGUACACCCAGAGCAUUAUCCUCAUUAGUUGUAUAUGCCAGCAUCCGGCAGGCGCUUUUAUCUUCUUUGGGUGUCAACUUUGAGAUUCUUAUGUAAGCUGCGACCUCUUCCUCUGCCUGCAAGCACAUCCACCCACAACCACGUGUUGCCUGGUUUAGAGCCUGCGGCUGGGUCCACCUGCAGGAGGAGGAGUGACUGGUGCAGUGAAGCUCAGACCAGGUACAGGAU
Molecule: long non-coding RNA, 1022 nt
Filed under: Homo sapiens (human)
Lineage: Eukaryota; Metazoa; Chordata; Mammalia; Primates; Hominidae
Description: non-protein coding lnc-PITRM1-2:5
Source: RNAcentral